This 72-nucleotide transfer RNA is filed under the name Toxocara canis (dog roundworm). It matches the Rfam family "tRNA". Rfam says of the family: Transfer RNA (tRNA) molecules are approximately 80 nucleotides in length. Lineage: Eukaryota; Metazoa; Nematoda; Chromadorea; Rhabditida; Toxocaridae. The record is from Rfam by way of RNAcentral.
GGUCCUAUGGUGUAGCGGUUAGCACUCAGGACUCUGAAUCCUGAGACGGGAGUUCAAAUCUCCCUGGGAUCU